Molecule: ribosomal RNA, 301 nt
Filed under: uncultured bacterium
Lineage: Bacteria
Description: partial 16S ribosomal RNA
Rfam family: Bacterial small subunit ribosomal RNA
Source: RNAcentral
CAGUCGCCACGGGAAUACGUAGGUGGCAAGCGUUAAUCGGAAUUACUGGGCGUAAAGCGUGCGCAGGCGGUUCUAUAAGACAGAUGUGAAAUCCCCGGGCUCAACCUGGGAACUGCAUUUGUGACUGUAGAGCUGGAGUGCGGCAGAGGGGGAUGGAAUUCCGCGUGUAGCAGUGAAAUGCGUAGAUAUGCGGAGGAACACCGAUGGCGAAGGCAAUCCCCUGGGCCUGCACUGACGCUCAUGCACGAAAGCGUGGGGAGCAAACAGGAUUAGAUACCCCAGUAGUCCCUGUCUCUUAUAA